RNAcentral lists this ribosomal RNA (274 nucleotides) under uncultured bacterium. RNAcentral describes it as "partial 16S ribosomal RNA". It matches the Rfam family "Bacterial small subunit ribosomal RNA", at positions 523 to 796 of the family's 1533-position model. The record is from RNAcentral.
AUACGGAGGGGGCUAGCGUUGUUCGGAAUUACUGGGCGUAAAGGGCGCGUAGGCGGAUUGUCAAGUCAGAGGUGAAAGCCCUGGGCUCAACCUGGGAACUGCCUUUGAAACUAACGGUCUAGAGUCCGAGAGAGGAUGGCGGAAUUCCCAGUGUAGAGGUGAAAUUCGUAGAUAUUGGGAAGAACACCAGUGGCGAAGGCGGCCAUCUGGCUCGGUACUGACGCUGAGGCGCGAAAGCGUGGGGAGCAAACAGGAUUAGAAACCCUAGUAGUCC